This 239-nucleotide ribosomal RNA is filed under the name uncultured bacterium. RNAcentral's name for it is "partial 16S ribosomal RNA". It matches the Rfam family "Bacterial small subunit ribosomal RNA", at positions 118 to 354 of the family's 1533-position model. The record is from RNAcentral.
UGAGCAAUCUGCCCUUCCCAUCGGAAUAAGCGUUGGAAACGACGUCUAAUGCCGAAUACGACCUCCUUUCACAUGAUCGGAGGUGGAAAGCUCCGGGCGGAGAAGGAUGAGCUCGCGGCCUAUCAGCUAGUUGGUGUGGGUAACGGCCCACCAAGGCGACGACGGGUAGCCGGCCUGAGAGGGUGACCGGCCACGCUGGGACUGAGACACGGCCCAGACCUCCGUACGGGAGCAGCAGG